Molecule: long non-coding RNA, 912 nt
Organism: Cebus imitator (Panamanian white-faced capuchin)
Lineage: Eukaryota; Metazoa; Chordata; Mammalia; Primates; Cebidae
Exons: 4
Source: RefSeq, a predicted model, not a curated record
AAAGACAGAAGAAGAUUAGAGACGCAGGCACAUAGAGGAAGGCCACAUAAAGAUGGGAACAGGGAUGGAAGAGAUGCCACCAGAAGUCAAGCGGUGCCUUGAGCUACCAGAAGCUGGAAGAGCUUUCAGGACCAGCAUUUCUAAAUCAAACCCUCUCUGACCACCCAGAUUCUCUGGAGUAAAGAUUCAGCAUCUCAGGAGGCAGCAAUAAACAGUGGUAAAGAGUGCAGGUUCUGAAGUCACAUUGUGCAAUAUUGGGCUCCUCAGCGAUACACUUCCUCCAGCGAUAGACCCUUCUGACAAGAAACGUGCUGCUCCUGCAUUUCUACCCACUCUUCCUCUGCAAGAAGUGCCCAGAGAGCUCCAAGUGUUGAAAGGCAAGUGUCCUGUGGAGGUUUCCUCUGGACUCCUGGCUGCUUUUCAAAACAUAUAUGAAAAGACUGUAAUAUAUUUAACUUUGAAUAGUUAGCUAAACAUCCCAGAAUUUUGAUUAUCAGAGGGGAUGACUCACUGGCUGCUCUGAAGUGCUUGGUCCACAACGAGCCAUUUUCUAUAUUCGACACCCUGACCAUAUUUCAGCUUCUAUACCAUGGAAACACAGUUUUCACACCAAGAACGAUGUCCUCUCUGCUGUCCUAGACUUUAAGAGCAUGGGGUGUCAUUGUCACCUUCCUUUUUCCACAGCAGCUCCUUUUAACCCCCAACAGGCCUCUGUCCUCCCUGGUACUCAGGUGUAAGAUGUCAAUAUUUUUUCUCCUUUUCCCCUUUUGUCCAGUGAUCACCUCCUUUUCCAAUAUAUUAUUUUCCCCUGUCUUUCUCCAGUUUCACUGCUGUUGCUCCAGGUCCUCACACUCUCUGAAUCUUUGUGAAGCCCUCUAACUGGCUUAUUGACACCUCCAGUUUCUUCUCCUU